CGUAGGCCGAGCGCUUCCCCCGGGAGAGAAGGGGUGGCGUGGUAUUCCACGAGAGAGGUUUUACGUGGCGCACGUUAGUGUGAUCGGCGCACAACAAUGGGCUCUUCCGUCGCUUUGCUGCUUUUGUUUCUGCAGCAAACAGCGGCGGCUGAGGCUCAGAUUCGAGAUGAUUGGCAUAUAAGUGGUGGCGCCUGGAGAUGUCGUGCAUAGGGAAAGCGGAAUGUUGGAUGGGCACAGACUUGGUGGUUGAUGUUUGCGAUUCCUCUGUCAUUCUUGAUGCCUGUGACAUUGUAUCGUAAUCUGCUUGUUGAAAUGAUGAUGUCCUCCCACUUCUUCUCAUAAAUCCAUUUCCACUCUCCUAUAAAAACACAACCUCCAUCAAGCUCAACAACAUACAUUACAUCACCCAGAGCUAGAGAGAAUGAGAGAGAGAUGAACAACCUCGCUUGAUCCUCCGUCUAUGGAUGAUUUACGGAUUUUUCUUGGAAGUCUACUUGUAGCACCAGCUUUCCUUCUGAACAAAAAUGAAACUAUUGUCAUCUAUCUAUUCUGAUCCCAUAAAUGAAGAUGUUCAUAUGAAAGAAAACGAGUAACCUUUUUGCAUCUUCGCGA
Salvia splendens (bonfire salvia) is the source of this 612-nucleotide long non-coding RNA. RefSeq lists it as uncharacterized. The record is from RefSeq and is a predicted model, not a curated record. NCBI's taxonomy places the organism in Eukaryota, Viridiplantae, Streptophyta, Magnoliopsida, Lamiales, Lamiaceae. The transcript has 2 exons.